AAAAUGAUAUACAAAAAAUCCAAUUUAGUACAUACAAUCAGUCACGUAUGUAGGAAUUAUUUUGACUAUGGACCAAUCUACCACCAACAAGCUACUUUUUUGAGGCUGGGUGGUUUUAGUUAUAACAUAAAUAAUAUGAAUAGGAUUAUAAUUUUAAAUACAUAUUUAUUAUUACAUUAUAUAAUAAAUUUAUCAUUUUUUUACUCAUUAGGUAGACUUAAACUUAAACUAAAGUACACUUCUGGAGACUUGGUAGAAUGGAUUUGUCUAUGAUUCUUGGAAUCAAUUUUAUAGCACCCAGGUUAUUAGCUACAUUAAUUGCAGAUUUAAAUACUUUUUUAAAUUCUCUCUCGACAUUUGAUCUUAUCUCACUGAUGACUGAUUGUACAACUUCUACACUUUCAACAGCUAUAUUUAAACAAUAUACAUAAAAUGUUUUAAUUAAAUCUGAAAUUUCACUAAAGCCCCCCUAUAUACGCCUCCACUAAUAAUAUAAAACUUAUUUCAUCAAAUAAGCAACAAACGUUCAAAUUGACUACUGUAAUCCAAUUGAAUUUACUACUACACAGACUUUAAUUGUUUUAUUACUAGAUUUUAAUAAGUUUGUACAAAAAUAAUUUUAAAUAAAAACAUGAGAAAAAAUGCAAAAAUCUAGUCUCAUUUCUGUCGCCACCUGGAAUUGACCCAACACCCAGCCUAAUUUAACCUAAUGCCUUUUCCACUUACCUACCUACUUAAUUGCUGAAUAUUUGAAUUUUAUGACUAUAUAAGUUAUUAGGCCAAUUUGAAAAUAUUAUAUACCUAUUACAGUAAAAUUUCAAAAUUGCAAAAUUUUUGGAAAUGGGAAUUUUAACCUCCUCUGAAUAGUGGACACAAGUGAAAAAAAAUCUAUUUGGACUAAUUACAUAUUACCAAUGAUAUGUAUUGAAAACUAAAAAUUAUGCUAAUGUUAAUGUUUUGUAAUUUAUAUGAUAUUUUAUAAUUGAUUCAAAUGAGGUGAUAACAUCAAUUACAUUACAACUCAAAACAUAAAAAUGUAAUGUAUGUUGUGUGUU
This is a non-coding RNA of Cinara cedri, 1055 nucleotides long. NCBI's taxonomy places the organism in Eukaryota, Metazoa, Arthropoda, Insecta, Hemiptera, Aphididae. The record is from the annotation of a GenBank genome assembly.